RNAcentral lists this transfer RNA (72 nucleotides) under Camelus dromedarius (Arabian camel). It matches the Rfam family "tRNA". Rfam says of the family: Transfer RNA (tRNA) molecules are approximately 80 nucleotides in length. RNAcentral also lists the same sequence under 1 other name. The record is from Rfam by way of RNAcentral. Lineage: Eukaryota; Metazoa; Chordata; Mammalia; Artiodactyla; Camelidae.
GAGGGUAUAGCUCAGUGGUAGAGUGGAUGCUUAGCAUGCACGAGGUCCUAGGUUCAAUCCCUAGGACCUCCA